GCCGGAGGAUGCAAGUGUUAUCCGGAAUCACUGGGCGUAAAGCGACUGUAGGUGGUCAAAUAAGUCAACUGUUAAAUCUUGAGGCUCAACCUCGAAAUCGCAGUCGAAACUAUUAGACUAGAGUAUAGUAGGGGUAAAGGGAAUUUCCAGUGGAGCGGUGAAAUGCGUAGAGAUUGGAAAGAACACCGAUGGCGAAGGCACUUUACUGGGCUAUUACUAACACUCAGAGACGACAGCUAGGGUAGCAAAUGGG
This 253-nucleotide ribosomal RNA is filed under the name uncultured bacterium. Its description in RNAcentral is "partial 16S ribosomal RNA". It matches the Rfam family "Bacterial small subunit ribosomal RNA", at positions 524 to 776 of the family's 1533-position model. The record is from RNAcentral.